UCAGAUUACAAUGAAAUAACUUUGUUGUUGUGCCCAACAAAAUCCAAAAUAGUUAAUUUUUUUUAAAAAAAAACUUGUCUGGUGUCCUUAAGAUCGAUUUGCCGCCCUUCUUGCCUGUCGCACACCAUCAUCACCCCCACCAAAUUUGGCUUGGACCUUGAUCAUGGAAACAUAGAAAAGGACUCCUCAACCCCAUCGAAGCAACUAUAAGAAGCCACCUCCGACUUCACCUCUGCUUCCUCUCGAUCCUACAUGUGCCUUCCUCCUCUACCAAAGCUCCAGCCAUGAGGAAUCGAGAGAGGUGGUUGACACCAGCCAUUUUCUAUACUAUAGUAUGAUAUCACCAUAGAGGGCUAGGCUUGGAUGCACCAUUCCGAUGACAAGAUCAUUAGGUAUGGAUGGUAUCGGACAAGAUAGCUCAUGAUGAUGGUUCUGAGGGCCCCAGUCAGGCUCUCUCCAGUGGCCUUCCGACAUGAUCCCAACUAGAGAGAGAUAGCAUUGAGCUCAUCUGGCUUCUGCAUCAGCAGAAGGUAUGAAGGAU
This 541-nucleotide long non-coding RNA is filed under the name Phoenix dactylifera (date palm). RNAcentral's name for it is "long non-coding RNA (PDAC_LNC001642)". Lineage: Eukaryota; Viridiplantae; Streptophyta; Magnoliopsida; Arecales; Arecaceae. The record is from RNAcentral.